CCCCACCACUCAACUCUAAACCCCCCUGUUCGAAAACGCGGCCGCCUAAGCAGCCGUCUGGGCGCUCGGCGACGAAGGCCCGCUUCGACUUUAGCCAAAUUGUUGUAACUAAUCGGAAACACAAUUAAUCGCUUUUCUAAGCGAUUAAUCGGACAUAAACCGAUUUAUUCAACUAAAUUUUGGACUUUGGUGACAAAUUAUUGGGCCAUGGAAGAGGCCCAGUUGUCUGGAAGGAUUUGAGACUUUCUCCUUGUAUUUAUAGAAGACUCAUAGAAGAC
Molecule: long non-coding RNA, 278 nt
Filed under: Brassica rapa (field mustard)
Lineage: Eukaryota; Viridiplantae; Streptophyta; Magnoliopsida; Brassicales; Brassicaceae
Description: long non-coding RNA (BRAP_LNC001410)
Source: RNAcentral